Molecule: ribosomal RNA, 305 nt
Filed under: uncultured bacterium
Lineage: Bacteria
Description: bacterial SSU rRNA
Rfam family: Bacterial small subunit ribosomal RNA
Source: RNAcentral
UCAUCCUACGGGGCGCAGCAGUGAGGGAUAUUGCACAAUGGGGGAAACCCUGACCCAGCAACGCCGCGUGAAGGAAGAAGGCUUUCGGGUUGUAAACUUCUUUUGACAGGGAAGAGCAGAAGACGGUACCUGUCGAAUAAGCCACGGCUAACUACGUGCCAGCAGCCGCGGUAAUACGUAGGUGGCAAGCGUUGUCCGGAUUUACUGGGUGUAAAGGGCGUGUAGCCGGGCUUACAAGUCAGAUGUGAAAUCCGGGGGCUCAACCCCCGAACUGCAUUUGAAACUGUAGGUCUUGAGUAUCGGAG